GACCUCAGAUCAGGUAGGAAUACCCGCUGAACUU
Molecule: ribosomal RNA, 34 nt
Filed under: Acremonium polychromum
Lineage: Eukaryota; Fungi; Ascomycota; Sordariomycetes; Hypocreales; Bionectriaceae
Description: Gliomastix polychroma partial 28S ribosomal RNA
Source: RNAcentral